AGUGAACGCUGGCGGUAGGCCUAACACAUGCAAGUCGAACGGCAGCACAGUAAGAGCUUGCUCUUACGGGUGGCGAGUGGCGGACGGGUGAGGAAUACAUCGGAAUCUACUUUUUCGUGGGGGAUAACGUAGGGAAACUUACGCUAAUACCGCAUACGACCUACGGGUGAAAGCAGGGGAUCUUCGGACCUUGCGCGAUUGAAUGAGUCGAUGUCGGAUUAGCUAGUUGGCGGGGUAAAGGCCCACCAAGGCGACGAUCCGUAGCUGGUCUGAGAGGAUGAUCAGCCACACUGGAACUGAGACACGGUCCAGACUCCUACGGGAGGCAGCAGUGGGGAAUAUUGGACAAUGGGCGCAAGCCUGAUCUAGCCAUACCGCGUGGGUGAAGAAGGCCUUCGGGUUGUAAAGCCCUUUUGUUGGGAAAGAAAAGCAGCAGGUUAAUACCCCGCUGUUCUGACGGUACCCAAAGAAUAAGCACCGGCUAACUUCGUG
This 492-nucleotide ribosomal RNA is filed under the name uncultured bacterium. Its description in RNAcentral is "partial 16S ribosomal RNA". It matches the Rfam family "Bacterial small subunit ribosomal RNA", at positions 29 to 507 of the family's 1533-position model. The record is from RNAcentral.